AGGGGGAGGGUGGUGGCAUCACUGGUACUGAUGUAAUGUCUGCCCACAGUACCACACAUGCCGCCCCCCACACCCUAC
This is a non-coding RNA of Eptesicus fuscus (big brown bat), 78 nucleotides long. Lineage: Eukaryota; Metazoa; Chordata; Mammalia; Chiroptera; Vespertilionidae. The record is from Rfam.